Molecule: unclassified non-coding RNA, 332 nt
Filed under: soil metagenome
Description: partial contains 5.8S ribosomal RNA, internal transcribed spacer 2, and large subunit ribosomal RNA
Rfam family: 5.8S ribosomal RNA (bases 1-120)
Source: RNAcentral
GAUGAAGAACGUAGCGAAAUGCGAUAAGUAGUGUGAAUUGCAGAAUUCAGUGAAUCACCGAAUCUUUGAACGCACAUUGCGCCCUUUGGUAUUCCUUAGGGCAUGCCUGUUCGAGCGUCAUUUAAACCUUCAAGCUAAGCUUGGUGUUGGGUGACUGUCCGCUUCACGGCGGACUCGCCUCAAAAUUAUUGGCGGCCGGUACAUUGGCUUCGAGCGCAGCAGAAACGCGAACUCGGGCCCGUCGUAUUGGCUCCCAGAAGCUAUCUUCACAAUUUUGACCUCGGAUCAGGUAGGGAUACCCGCUGAACUUAAGCAUAUCAAUAAGCGGAGGA